RNAcentral lists this transfer RNA (84 nucleotides) under Felis catus (domestic cat). It matches the Rfam family "tRNA". Rfam says of the family: Transfer RNA (tRNA) molecules are approximately 80 nucleotides in length. Their secondary structure includes four short double-helical elements and three loops (D, anti-codon, and T loops). Further hydrogen bonds mediate the characteristic L-shaped molecular structure. tRNAs have two regions of fundamental functional importance: the anti-codon, which is responsible for specific mRNA codon recognition, and the 3' end, to which the tRNAs corresponding amino acid is attached (by aminoacyl-tRNA synthetases). tRNAs cope with the degeneracy of the genetic code in two manners: having more than one tRNA (with a specific anti-codon) for a particular amino acid; and 'wobble' base-pairing, i.e. permitting non-standard base-pairing at the 3rd anti-codon position. RNAcentral also lists the same sequence under 2 other names. Lineage: Eukaryota; Metazoa; Chordata; Mammalia; Carnivora; Felidae. The record is from Rfam by way of RNAcentral.
CCCUGGGUGGCUCAGUCGGUUGAGCAUCUGACUUUGGCUCAGUCAUGAUCUCACAGUUGGUGGGUUCAAGCCCCACAUCAGGCU